CAUUCCUACGGGGGGCAGCAGUGGGGGAUAUUGCACAAUGGGGGAAACCCUGAUGCAGCGACGCCGCGUGUGGGAAGACGGUCCUCUGGAUUGUAAACCACUGUCCCCAGGGACGAAGAUGACGGUACCUGGGGAGGAAGCUCCGGCUAACUACGUGCCAGCAGCCGCGGUAAUACGUAGGGAGCAAGCGUUAUCCGGAUUUACUGGGUGUAAAGGGCGCGUAGGCGGGAUGGCAAGUCAGA
RNAcentral lists this ribosomal RNA (242 nucleotides) under uncultured bacterium. Its description in RNAcentral is "partial 16S ribosomal RNA". It matches the Rfam family "Bacterial small subunit ribosomal RNA", at positions 334 to 592 of the family's 1533-position model. The record is from RNAcentral.